RNAcentral lists this ribosomal RNA (258 nucleotides) under uncultured prokaryote. RNAcentral's name for it is "partial 16S ribosomal RNA". It matches the Rfam family "Bacterial small subunit ribosomal RNA", at positions 524 to 780 of the family's 1533-position model. The record is from RNAcentral.
UACGUAGGGUGCGAGCGUUAUCCGGAAUCAUUGGGCGUAAAGAGCUCGUAGGUGGUUUGUCGCGUCGUCUGUGAAAUUCCGGGGCUUAACUUCGGGCGUGCAGGCGAUACGGGCAAUACUUGAGUGCUGUAGGGGAGACUGGAAUUCCUGGUGUAGCGGUGGAAUGCGCAGAUAUCAGGAGGAACACCGAUGGCGAAGGCAGGUCUCUGGGCAGUAACUGACGCUGAGGAGCGAAAGCAUGGGUAGCGAACAGGAUUA